RNAcentral lists this long non-coding RNA (1061 nucleotides) under Anolis carolinensis (green anole). RNAcentral describes it as "lncRNA (ENSACAG00000038586.1)". The record is from RNAcentral. Lineage: Eukaryota; Metazoa; Chordata; Lepidosauria; Squamata; Anolidae.
AUGUUCCAGAAACAUUCUCUCUUGAUGUUUCAUGUACAUAUGUGGAUGUGGGAGAAACGUCAGGAGAGCAUGCUUCUGGAACAUGGCCAUACAGCUCAGAAAACUGACAUCACUUCCUGCAAACAUUUUGAGAAGGGCUCCAAAGGAGUCCGAUUUCGUGCCGAGCUCCACUCCCGAAACCAAAGGCAACACAAAAACCAAACGUCUGAAAAGAAAUUAAUACAAAAUAAGCACAGCUUUAUCAUAGAGGUUAAUAAAAAAGGGCUAAUACUUAAAUUCUGUAUGCCUUUUACAAAGCAAAAACAAACCCCCCGAAUAACUGGAAAAGGUAAGGUGGAGGGGGGGAAAAGCAGCAAAGGAGUCCAACAAAGCAAUCUAAAGUCAGAAUCUGGAAUUAUUAUUAUUAUCAUUAAAUUUUUGUUUGUUUGUAAAUUUUUCUCUUUUUUGUUUUUUUGGAUGCUACUGUUCGGUAUACACUUUGGAAAAAAAAAGGCCAGUUCUGGAAGAAGAGGAGGAGGAGGAGGAAGAAGAACAUCGCUCUGUACCUAACAGGCUUUGGGGCAGAAAUGAUCUAAAAAUUUGGAGAAAAAUGGGUCUGGGAAAAAAGAGCAUUCACAUGCACAAUGUGUAUACAGGCACACACACAAUGCACACAUACGCACAAAGGCAAAAUCGAUUUGGAGGUAAGAAAGACCCAGCAAACUUCUCUCCGUUUGUAAUCUUGCAGGAAAAAUAAAAACAAACCUGGCAAACUUUUGGUUCAAUCAAAACCAGCUUUGAUCUAAGAUUCUUGGUGUCGAAAGGAUCCAUGCAUUAGGGUGCAUUUACACCAGGCAUGGGCAAACUUUGGCCCUCAGGGUGUUUUGGACUCCAACUCCCACCAUUCCUAGAGCCGACGGAUUGUUUAGUUUUUUUUUAAGAAGUGACCAGACGGCAGGAAACAAUCUGUUACGUGUCGGCUUAUUUGCUACUCCCUUAUCUCUUCUUUCUUCUCUUCUUUUUUUUUUAUUUUUUUAUUUGUGUGGGAUUUGAUGAUCCUUCACGUUUUCAUACCACUCCCC